UAGAAAAGACAGCAAUCGAUCUUUCUCUCAACUCUCCUAUGAGCUUCCUAGUCCCUUAUAUGAUCUUUCUACAAAUGUUGCAAGAUUUGCAACAGGGGUUUUCACUGAUAAAGAAACAGUCACUCUUUUAGGUGCUCAUAGUACUGGAAUGAUUCACUGCAAGUUCUUUGAAAAAAGACUAUACAACUUUGGUGGAACAAAUAAACCAGACCUAUCAAUGGAUUCUUAAUUUCUUGAAUUAUUAAGAUCAUUAUGCAACAACUGAUCCAAUCACCAUCAACAUGACCAUCACCAUCACCUUCUUCAUCAAAAACUAGAAGGUAGCAGGGAAUGAAGAUGGAUUAUGAAGGAAAAGGUUCAAGUUUUGGGAACUCUUUGACUUUUUCCGGAUGCUUUUGUUCUAGUUUAUAACCGUUAGAUUCUACUUCUGCACCAUGUUAACACUUAACAGUGAUCACUGUGUACAUAUUCGUGAAGUCAUUUGGUCAAAGGGUACUCUUUUUUCUCUCUCUAGAAUAAUCAC
Molecule: non-coding RNA, 523 nt
Organism: Lactuca sativa (garden lettuce)
Lineage: Eukaryota; Viridiplantae; Streptophyta; Magnoliopsida; Asterales; Asteraceae
Source: RefSeq, a predicted model, not a curated record